RNAcentral lists this long non-coding RNA (1230 nucleotides) under Canis lupus familiaris (dog). Its description in RNAcentral is "lncRNA (ENSCAFG00030008429.1)". Lineage: Eukaryota; Metazoa; Chordata; Mammalia; Carnivora; Canidae. The record is from RNAcentral.
AAACUGCAAGGUCACUGGGACCUACCAGGUCACACAAAGGUGGAGGUGGGGGUUGUGUUGGGGUGUGUGUGUGGGGGCGGGGGGGGGACUGCAGAGUCAGGGAAGAACCCGGAGGGAUCAAAACACGUCAGGAAAAUAAAAACGCCUUUUUGUACGGCCGGGAGUCUUGCGGUGAAAGUCAGGGCAGCGGUGCAAGUCCACGCGCGGGGAUGGCUUCGGAGGGGCGCUGCGGGGGGAGGACGAGGAGGCGGACGGAACGCUGAGGGGAGGCUGAGGGAGCCUCAGGACGGCGGCUGCAGAGUCACGGAGACCCUGGGCUCCUCCGGGAUCCUCAGCUCGGGCCUGCGCCGGGGCCAACGCGGGGCAAGCCCCGUGACCCCACCCCAGAAAACUCCGGGGCCCCCGGGCCGGGGGGGGCGGCCGGCGCGGCGCGGCGCGGACGGUCGGCGGCCGCCCCUCAGAGGCUCCGGCCCGGGGGCCGCCGCGCCCGCCCCCCCGCGCCCCCCGCCCCCCGCCCCCCGCCGCGGCGUCCUUACCCGGCGCAAAGCCGUCGGCUCCCGGCGGUCGGGCGGCCACUCCAGCGGCGGGGCGCCCUCACCCUUCCGCGCCCAAGAUCGCCAUCUCGAAGCAGGCGCGGCGGCGGCGGCGGCGGCGGCGGCGGCGGCGGCAGCCACCCAGGCGUCGGCCCCGGCAGCCCAGGCCGCCUGCAGCCACUUGGAACCCGCUCGCCGCGCCGCGCUCGGCGACACCCGACCCUCCCCCCACCCCCACCCCGGCCGCGCGCCGCCCCCGGCAGACCCCACACCUCCCGCCUCAGGAGCGCGCCGCGUGCUCGCGUCACCGGCGCCGCGCCGCGAGCGCGCGCCUGCGCCGCGGCCGCCUCAGAGCCCCCCUCCCCCCACGCCGGGACCCGGAACCCGGGCUUCCCGCGAGCAUGCGCAGCGAGGGCGCCCCCGCGAGGAUGCUUUCGGAAAACUCCGCUCCUCCGGGGCUGCGGAGCGCGCUCGAGGAGAGCCGAGGGCCAGCCAAUGGGAGGAGGGGGGCGGGGCCCAAACCUGUGGAGGGGGCGGGGCCACCGCUGAGAUUUGGGAAGAGGCCUCUGAGCGCGAGGUGGCUGCUGCUGACCUGGCUUCCCCGUCCGUCCGGGACUGGGACAGCGCGGGUGAGCGACCUCGGGUCAGGGCCCCCGGCGCUGGCCUUCUCAUCUCGAGUGCUUUACUGCAAAAGUAG